Molecule: ribosomal RNA, 1239 nt
Filed under: uncultured bacterium
Lineage: Bacteria
Description: bacterial SSU rRNA
Source: RNAcentral
ACUUUGGUGGCGACCGGCGCCGGGGAGUAACGCGUAUGCAACCUACCUAUAGAGGGGAAUAACCCGGGGAAAGUCGGACUAAUACCGCAUAAAACAGGGGCACCGCAUGGUGAUAUUUGUUAAAGAAAUUCGCUGAUAGAUGGGCAUGCGUUCCAUUAGGUAGUUGGUGAGGUAACGGCUCACCAAGCCGACGAUGGAUAGGGGAACUGAGAGGUUGGUCCCCCACACUGGUACUGAGACACGGACCAGACUCCUACGGGAGGCAGCAGUGAGGAAUAUUGGUCAAUGGGCGGGAGCCUGAACCAGCCAAGUCGCGUGAAGGAAGAAGGAUCUAUGGUUCGUAAACUUCCUUUGAGGGGAAUAAAGUGCAGGACGUGUCUUGUUUGUAUGUACCCUGAGAAUAAGGAUAGGCUAACUCCGAGCCARCAGCCGCGGUAAUACGGAGAUCCGGCGUUAUCCGAUUUAUUGGGUUUAAAAGGGUGNGUAGGUGGUUUGAUAAGUCAGCGGUGAAAGUUUGCAGCUUAACUGGAAAAAUGCCGUGAAACGUCGGACUUGAGUGUAAAUGAGGUAGGCGGAAUGCGUGGUGUAGCGGUGAAAUGCAUAGAUAUCACGCAGAACUCCGAUUGCGAAGGCAGCUUACUAARCUACAACUGACACUGAAGCACGAAAGCGUGGGGNUCAAAACGGAUUAGAUACCCCUGGUAGUCCACGCAGAAACGAUGAUUACUAGCUGUUUGCGAUACACAGUAAGCGGCACAGCGAAAGCGUUAAGUAAUCCACCUGGGGAGUACGCCGGCANCGGUGNAACUCAAAGGAAUUGACGGGGGCCCGCACAAACGGAGGAACAUGUGGUUUAAUUCGAUGAUACGCGAGGAACCUUACCCGGGUUUGAACGUAGGGAGACAGGAGUGGAAACAUUCUUUUCAGCAAUGACUGCCUACGAGGUGCUGCAUGGUUGUCGUCAGCUCGUGCCGUGAGGUGUCGGCUUAAGUGCCAUAACGAGCGCAACCCUUAUUUCCAGUUACUAACAGGUGAAGCUGAGGACUCUGGAGAGACUGCCAGCGUAAGCUGUGAGAAAGGUGGGGAUGACGUCAAAUCAGCACGGCCCUUACAUCCGGGGCGACACACGUGUUACAAUGGUAASGMCAAUAACAGCUACCGGGCGACCGGAUGCGAAUCUCUAACCYUUCUYUCAUUCGGAUCGGAGUCUCAACUCGACUCCGGWAGCGAUCCUAGUAU